This 256-nucleotide ribosomal RNA is filed under the name uncultured bacterium. Its description in RNAcentral is "partial 16S ribosomal RNA". It matches the Rfam family "Bacterial small subunit ribosomal RNA", at positions 15 to 263 of the family's 1533-position model. The record is from RNAcentral.
GAUCUGGCUCAGGAUGAACGCUAGCUACAGGCUUAACACAUGCAAGUCGAGGGGCAUCAGGAAGAAAGCUUGCUUUCUUUGCUGGCGACCGGCGCACGGGUGAGUAACACGUAUCCAACCUGCCCUUUACUCGGGGAUAGCCUUUCGAAAGAAAGAUUAAUACCCGAUAGCAUAAUGAUUCCGCAUGGUUUCAUUAUUAAAGGAUUCCGGUAAAGGAUGGGGAUGCGUUCCAUUAGGUUGUUGGUGAGGUAACCGG